Molecule: long non-coding RNA, 598 nt
Filed under: Homo sapiens (human)
Lineage: Eukaryota; Metazoa; Chordata; Mammalia; Primates; Hominidae
Description: long non-coding RNA NONHSAT118060.2
Source: RNAcentral
GCCUGUACCCUAGUGCUUUGUAUGGCUGUGGCUGUUCAGCCGCUACUUCUGAUCCCCUAGGACUGGGAGCAGCCUGCCUGGGGGAGACCAUCAGGAUGUCUAUGGAAGGCUGCUUCAUGCUACAAGGGCAGAGUUAAGUCUUUGGUAUAGAGACUGGUUGGCAAAGUUGAAAAUGUUGCCCCAGGUCCUUUUGGGGAUUAUUUACCAGCCCCUGGUUUGAGUGUUGUCUGGCAGGACCCAGGCUCUGAGCUGAUCCUCCCUCACUCAAGGCCUGCUGCAGCCUCCCGCUGAGGUCUUGAAACCAUCAGGAGCAGUUGUUCUUUGGCCUCCGGGACACCGCAGGGCUGAGUUGCUCCCUGCCUGGAGGUGGUCCCAUGGGGCCCACUGUCUGGGUCAAGGAUGGUGCAGAGCUGGUGUCCUCAAAAUGCAUCCUGGUGGAGCCCCAGCAGCUGCAGGUGCUGACUGCCUCUCACGAGGACCCUGGGGGCCUGCAGCUGCAGCGACUCACCCAGCAUGAGCGGUGCCACUCAGUGUGCACAUGACAGAUGCUCCAUCCUCAGGAGAUGACAAAGACGUGGAGGACAAGGCUGAAGACACA